CCUACGGGAGGCUGCAGUCGAGAAUCAUUCACAAUGGGGGAAACCCUGAUGGUGCGACGCCGCGUGGGGGAAUGAAGUUCUUCGGAUUGUAAACCCCUGUCAUGUGGGAGCAAAUUAAAACGAUAGUACGACAAGAGGAAGAGACUGCUAACUCUGUGCCAGCAGCCGCGGUAAUACAGAGGUCUCAAGCGUUGUUCGGAAUCACUGGGCGUAAGGGGUGCGGAGGCUGUUUCGUAAGGCGGGUGUGAAAGGCGGGGGCUCAACCCGAGAACGGCACAUGAUACUGGGAGACUAGAGUACAGGAGGGGGAAGCGGAAUUCUCGGUGUAGCAGUGAAAUGCGUAGAUAGCGAGAGGAACACUCGUGGCGAAGGCGGGUUACUGGACAGUAACUGACGCUGAGGCACGAAGGCCAGGGGAGCGAAAGGGAUUAGAUACCCUUGUAGUC
RNAcentral lists this ribosomal RNA (446 nucleotides) under uncultured bacterium. RNAcentral describes it as "partial 16S ribosomal RNA". It matches the Rfam family "Bacterial small subunit ribosomal RNA", at positions 338 to 795 of the family's 1533-position model. The record is from RNAcentral.